Molecule: ribosomal RNA, 460 nt
Filed under: uncultured bacterium
Lineage: Bacteria
Description: partial 16S ribosomal RNA
Rfam family: Bacterial small subunit ribosomal RNA
Source: RNAcentral
CCUACGGGUGGCAGCAGUGAGGAAUAUUGGUCAAUGGGCGAGAGCCUGAACCAGCCAAGUCGCGUGAAGGAUGACGGCCCUACGGGUUGUAAACUUCUUUUGUCAGGGGGAAAUUGGGUCCACGCGUGGGCUUAGCGAGAGUACCUGAAGAAAAAGCAUCGUCUAACUCGGUGCCAGCAGCCGCGGUAAUACGGAGGAUGCGAGCGUUAUCCGGAUUUAUUGGGUUAAAGGGGUGCGUAGGCGGAAUAUCAAGUCAGCGGUAAAAAUUCGGGGCUAAACCCCGACGUGCCGUUGAAACUGAUGUUCUUGAGUGGUCUAGAGGUAUGCUGAAUGCGUGGUGUAGCGGUGAAAUGCGUAGAGAUCUCGCAGAACUCCGAUUGCGAAGGCAGCCUACCGGCGCCCAACUGACGCUGAAGUACGAAAGCGUGGGUAUCGAACAGGAUUAGAUACCCUAGUAGUC